This 501-nucleotide ribosomal RNA is filed under the name uncultured bacterium. RNAcentral's name for it is "partial 16S ribosomal RNA". It matches the Rfam family "Bacterial small subunit ribosomal RNA", at positions 30 to 523 of the family's 1533-position model. The record is from RNAcentral.
AUUGAACGCUGGCGGCAUGCCUUACACAUGCAAGUCGAACGGCAGCACGGGUGCUUGCACCUGGUGGCGAGUGGCGAACGGGUGAGUAAUACAUCGGAACGUACCUUAUCGUGGGGGAUAACGCAGCGAAAGUUGCGCUAAUACCGCACACGCCCUGAGGGGGAAAGCGGGGGGCCGUAAGGCCUCGCGCGAUUAGAGCGGCCGAUGUCUGAUUAGCUUGUUGGUGAGGUAAAAGCUCACCAAGGCGAUGAUCAGUAGCUGGUCUGAGAGGACGAUCAGCCACACUGGGACUGAGACACGGCCCAGACUCCUACGGGAGGCAGCAGUGGGGAAUUUUGGACAAUGGGGGCAACCCUGAUCCAGCAAUGCCGCGUGAGUGAAGAAGGCCUUCGGGUUGUAAAGCUCUUUUGUCAGGGAAGAAACAGCAGCUCUAACACAGUCUGCGAAUGACGGUACCUGAAGAAUAAGCACCGGCUAACUACGUGCCAGCCGCCGCAGUAA